Non-coding RNA from Felis catus (domestic cat), 85 nucleotides. NCBI's taxonomy places the organism in Eukaryota, Metazoa, Chordata, Mammalia, Carnivora, Felidae. The record is from Rfam.
GCCUGGGUGGCUCAGUCGGUUGAGCGUCCGACUUCAGCUCAGGUCAUGGUAUCACGGCUUGUGAGUUCAAGCCCCACGUCAGGCU